CCUACGGGUGGCAGCAGUGAGGAAUAUUGGUCAAUGGACGCAAGUCUGAACCAGCCAUGCCGCGUGCAGGAAGACGGCUCUAUGAGUUGUAAACUGCUUUUGUACGAGGGUAAACGCAGAUACGCGUAUCUGUUUGAAAGUAUCGUACGAAUAAGGAUCGGCUAACUCCGUGCCAGCAGCCGCGGUAAUACGGAGGAUUCAAGCGUUAUCCGGAUUUAUUGGGUUUAAAGGGUGCGUAGGCGGUCGGAUAAGUUAGAUGUGAAAUCCCGAGGCUCAACUUCGGAAUUGCAUCUGAUACUGGUCGGCUAGAGAGUAGUUGCGGUAGGCGGAAUGUAUGGUGUAGCGGUGAAAUGCUUAGAGAUCAGACAGAACACCGAUUGCGAAGGCAGCUUACCAAGCUACUACUGACGUUGAGGCACGAAAGCGUGGGGAGCAAACAGGAUUAGAUACCCCUGUAGUC
RNAcentral lists this ribosomal RNA (460 nucleotides) under uncultured bacterium. RNAcentral's name for it is "partial 16S ribosomal RNA". It matches the Rfam family "Bacterial small subunit ribosomal RNA", at positions 338 to 795 of the family's 1533-position model. The record is from RNAcentral.